GACCGUGGGCAAGAGUAGCAAGAUGCUGCCACACACGGACCACAGAAUGAGACGUAUCCUACAAGAUGGCCGAGUCUUCAUUGGCACCUUCAAGGCUUUUGACAAGCAUAUGAAUAUGAUCCCCUGUGAUUGUGAUGAGUUCAGAAAGAUGAAACUAAAGAAUGCGAAGCAACCAGCACGUGAAGAAAAGCGGGUUUCGGGCCCCUCCGCUUCU
RNAcentral lists this long non-coding RNA (214 nucleotides) under Homo sapiens (human). Its description in RNAcentral is "non-protein coding lnc-PEX10-6:3". Lineage: Eukaryota; Metazoa; Chordata; Mammalia; Primates; Hominidae. The record is from RNAcentral.